AUUGAACGCUGGCGGCAUGCUUUACACAUGCAAGUCGAACGGAAACAGGCCUUGGGGUGUUGACGAGUGGUGGACGGGUGCGUAAUGCAACCGCACGUAUCCCGAGGCGGGGGAUCACGCAGAGAUAGCUGUGCCAAUACCGCAUGUGAUCUGAGGUUUAAAGCGGGGGACUGCGAAGCUAUGUUUCGCCUCUCGCGUUUGGUGUGGCUGAUGUCGGAUUAGCUUGUUGGUGGGGUAAAGGCCUACCAAGGCGACGAACCGUAGCUGAUCUGAGAGGAUGACCGGCCACACUGGAACUGAGACACGGCCCAGACUCCUACGGGAGGCAGCAGUAGGGAAUUUUGGGCAAUGGGCGCAAGCCUGAUCCAGCAAUGCCGCGUGAGGGAAGAAGGCCUUCGGAUCGUAAACCGCUUUUGGCAGGAACGAAACAGUGUCCGCUAAUACCGGCAGCUAAUGACGGUACCUGCAGAAUAAGCACCGGCUAACUACGUG
This 492-nucleotide ribosomal RNA is filed under the name uncultured bacterium. RNAcentral's name for it is "partial 16S ribosomal RNA". It matches the Rfam family "Bacterial small subunit ribosomal RNA", at positions 30 to 507 of the family's 1533-position model. The record is from RNAcentral.